RNAcentral lists this small RNA (27 nucleotides) under Bombyx mori (domestic silkworm). RNAcentral's name for it is "ovarian small RNA-7659". The record is from RNAcentral. Lineage: Eukaryota; Metazoa; Arthropoda; Insecta; Lepidoptera; Bombycidae.
UCGUGAUUUCUCAGCCUUGGUGGAUAC